GGGUCUAUAGCUCAGACGGUUAGAGCGCUGCCCUGAUAAGGCAGAGGUCGGUGGUUCAAGUCCACCUAGACCCACCA
This 77-nucleotide transfer RNA is filed under the name Propionibacteriaceae bacterium. RNAcentral describes it as "tRNA-Ile". It matches the Rfam family "tRNA". From Rfam's summary of the family: Transfer RNA (tRNA) molecules are approximately 80 nucleotides in length. The record is from RNAcentral. Lineage: Bacteria; Bacillati; Actinomycetota; Actinomycetes; Propionibacteriales; Propionibacteriaceae.